This 359-nucleotide long non-coding RNA is filed under the name Olea europaea subsp. europaea. Lineage: Eukaryota; Viridiplantae; Streptophyta; Magnoliopsida; Lamiales; Oleaceae. The record is from RNAcentral.
UCAUGCGUGUGCUAGUAUCAGAACAUGUCAAUAGAAUUCAAUCGUUGUCAAUGACACGUCCUAUGUUAUAGUUAUGUAUGUGAAUCUUGAACCUGAUGUAUCAUCGUUGUCUUGUGUAUGGAUUCUUAUGGUAAGCCAUGAUGUUAGGAUUAUGGUGAUGACAAUUGUUGGCCAUAUGAGGCAUGUGAGCAUAAAAUAAGAUAUCUUAUUACUCAUUGAAACUCAUGACGAAGGUUGGGAGGAAAUUAGAAAAGCACAUAUCACUUGGGUCAGUCAUAUGCUAGAAUCAAUGUUUUGAAACCAGACCAGACCCUGAUCCAGGAUAGCUAAAGGAUCAAGUGUCAAAGGGUUUAAUCACG